GUGCUUGCUUCGGCCGCACAUAUGCUAAAAUUGGAACAAUACAGAAAAGAUUUGCACAGCCCCCGUGCAAAGAUGACAUACAAAUUUGUGAAACAUUUCAUAUUUUU
Molecule: non-coding RNA, 107 nt
Organism: Erinaceus europaeus (western European hedgehog)
Lineage: Eukaryota; Metazoa; Chordata; Mammalia; Eulipotyphla; Erinaceidae
Source: Rfam